RNAcentral lists this ribosomal RNA (399 nucleotides) under uncultured bacterium. RNAcentral describes it as "partial 16S ribosomal RNA". It matches the Rfam family "Bacterial small subunit ribosomal RNA", at positions 338 to 734 of the family's 1533-position model. The record is from RNAcentral.
CCUACGGGAGGCAGCAGUGAGGAAUAUUGGUCAAUGGGCGCAAGCCUGAACCAGCCACGUCGCGUGAGGGAUGACAGGUCUACGGGUUGUAAACCUCUUUUAUAAGGGAAUAAAGUGAGGCACGUGUCCCACUUUGUAUGUACAUUAUGAAUACGGAUCGGCUAACUCCGUGCCAGCAGCCGCCGUAAUCCGGAGGAUCCGAGCGUUAUCCGGAUUUAUGGGGUUUAAAGGGAGCGUAGACGGGUUGUUAAGUCAGUUGUGAAAGUCUGGGGCUCAACCGUAAAAGUGCAAUUGAUACUGGCAGUCUUGAGUACAGGAGAGGUAGGCGGAAUUCGUGGUGUAGCGGUGAAAUGCUUAGAUAUCGAGAAGAACUCCGAUUGCGAAGGCAGGCUACUGGAC